Long non-coding RNA from Equus asinus (donkey), 3646 nucleotides. NCBI's taxonomy places the organism in Eukaryota, Metazoa, Chordata, Mammalia, Perissodactyla, Equidae. The record is from Ensembl.
CACAGGGCCACCCCUAGAACAGGAGGAGAGUUCCUUGUUCCUUUAUCUGUUGCACCAAGAUAGUCUCUUCAUCCCCCUGAAGGCUCAGGAUACCUCUUCCUGUUUCUCUCUCGGGUUCUCAGGAACUGGCAGUUACCAGAUUUUGUCAGUUAAUUUACUUAAUUUAUUCUUUAUGCUUCGCUGAGCCCUGGCAGGUUGGGAAGUAAGCGGUCGGUUCUUCUAGAAUUGAGCCUGCUGACGUUGUGAAAUAGCCUAGGGCAGCCCUGGUACUGGCUACUAGGAAGAGGCACCUGGAGUUCUCUCCCUCUGAGGUCGGGACAACCUCCAGCAGACCUGUCUCCCCCUUUCCUUCAAACAGGAAGAUGAAGCUGGAGAUGAGGCUCGGUAUGAAAAUGAAUACCCUGAGAAAGCAUAGCAGGAUUGUGCUUGGAUGGACCAUGUGUAUGCUUGAUUCCUAUGGAAGACAUAAUUUGCAACAGAAGACUUGGAAUCGUAGUAUCCUGCUUACAAAAUUAUUGAAGAAAAAAGAAGACUUCUAAUUAAUUCCAAAAGCUAAACUACUCUCCAGAUAGGUACCAUUUCAAGCAGUUGACCCAGUGUGAUUCUCAGCCCUGGGGACAUAACAGCCUCACCUGUGUGGAACAUUAACCCCUCCCACCCUCAUCCCUAUCCACCUCCACCACUCCCAGUCCCAGAGUUUCUAGUAUGCCUUGAGUGGGGGCCUUGGGAUGGAUGGAUGGAUAGAUGGAUAGAUAGACAGACAGACAGAUAGAUAGACUUCUUUUUAACACAGGUGAGUUUGAGGCUCAACCAUGGUUGAGAACCACUGAGUUAAACAAUGUGAUCUUUUAAAGGCAAUUUCCUUUAAUGACAAAUAAUAGAUAAACCUAAGGAUAGGAAGAGAUGGAGAUGCUCAAAGAAAUAAAGUCAAUUAAUGUCAUGGUCGUGAGGAGCUUGCUUCAUGGUUAUAACCAACUGCUCCCUUAUCUCAUGGGCUAAUUUGACUUCACAUAAAGGUGAGUGCUAUAAAACUCUCUAAAAGUCCAUCAUUCUUUUGAAAUCAGAAGCAUGGGAACAAGUUACCUCCAGUUGUUAAAAAAAAAAAAGACCACCGUUUCAUUGGGCUAAAUUGGACCUCACAUACAAAAGUGAUGUGUGUUAGUGAGUCCACAAGGAAGGAGUUGUUAAUGAUCUGGAUUGCAGUUGGCUGGUUCCUGGUAGAUACAGCUUCAGUUGGAGAUGGACCCAAGCUUUAAGAGGGUUCUUGGGCACACACGACAGACACACAAGCUGAUAAUCACCGCUGCCCGUGUGCUGGGUGCUCUCGUAAUGCCCUGCUGUGCUGCACACCUCCACGAGGCAGAUAUUAUCCCCAUUUUAUAGGGAGAAACCAGGUGCAAACGCUUGCCCACAUUCACUCAGCUAGUCAUCAGGGAUUGGAACUCGGUUCUGUAUGGCCCCAAAGCCAUGCUGCAACCCCUACACCACUUGUUCUCAUUGCCCACCCUGCGGAGGGCCCCGUUUUGGAACAGCAGAGACCAUGGAGCUGACAGCUAUGCAGCCACUUCAGAGAAAGGAUGUGUUCAUAAGACACAUUAUAGCAGAAGGCCAAAUAUUCUUGUAAAUAUAGCAGUGAUGACUAAAGAGCUUUGUUACAAUAUAUUAAGCGUGUACAGUAAAGUCUUAACCUCUGUUAAAUCUGGGUGCUUUUAGUUACCUCUGUAUGUUUGAAAAAUCUUUCAUUGUUAAUUAUUCUUGGGCAAAGGGGAAUGGAAGACAGCUGCAAACAUCUGCAUUAUGAAUUAUUCAGGUAGCUUUGCAUAAACUGUAGGGCAGAUAAUUGCUGGAAUGACCUCAAGAAAGAGAUAGGGUAGAGAAAGAAAUGUUUGCUAGUUAACUAGCAAGGAAAGAGAAAUAUGGGAAAUAAUUAAAUCUCCUGGUUCUCUCUGCUCUGCUCCUCAAAGUGUUCUCCUACCGUGCCCCUUCCAGCUUAAUGACCGAGAGCAGUCAGCCAACCGUACGCUCCAGUAGAAGAGAGAUCUCAAGGAGUUUCAGUCUGAUGCCAAUUUCGGGUGUAUUGUUUUCACAAAUUAUAUUAGUGCUCAUGAACUGGAAUUGCUGCACUUUAAACACUCAAAAUUAUGAGACUAGCUGUCCCCAGUGGUCAGUGUUUUUGGAGUGGACCUCACAGGCAAUCCUCUGCUAGAAGAAGACUCUUCCAGAUUCCAGCAGCUUUUGUUUAAAGCAAGGCCUGUCUUAUUUACACUUAACUUCCAAGUUCAAAUCUGACACAGAUGGCUGUGCUUUGCUUUUGACUUUUGGUUUAUGGAAAUUAUAGAUGAAAUUUAAUUUUCUAAUCUUGCACUUCAGAGCAGCUGAUACAUCUCAGCCAACAUGUGUGCAACACAUCAGGAAGGAGGCACCGUUUCUAUCGUAAUGUAUUUGGCUGUGGGGCGUUAAUGUCUGUGUCUCGUUAGUGGCAGCUGUUGAUUUUAAGAAAACUACUUAUGCAGAUAAGCUGUGACAGAGGGAGUGCAUCCAAGUUUUUAAUGAGACAUCGAGACUCAUUAAAAAAUCUACGUUGAGACUUUAAUCUCCAGGAAAAGUAGUGAUAGAACAGUUUAAGAAACGCCCCCUGCACAUGAUCACAAUACUAAUUUUUUAGGAAAUCAAAGCCAUAUAUACAAUUUAAUUCCACUUCUGUUUAAAAAAAUCUAUACAAAAUGCAAUUAAACGAGACUAGAAGAAUAUACAAACCAGCAUAUUCUCGGUGAUUACCUUUCUCUUGAAGGCAAUAUUUUACGUGAUUUUUAUUUUAUUUGACUUUUUUACUUUCCUGUCUUUUCAAUGUUCUCUGUGUCAAGCGUACGUAACUAGUUUACAGGAGAAAAAAAUACAAUAGAUGUUUAAGGGUCAAGAAAAAAAGAAAAAGAAAUGAAUAUGCACCUACCUGCUGCAACUGGACCAUGUCUGGUGAUGGAAGGUCUGGAGCUUCGUUGCUCGCUUCGUGAGUGAAGAGCAAGAUUUCCUCCUCCCCAGGGAAGGCCUUGAUGAGCGGAAGCUGCGUGAGGAAAGGGAAGCAGUCUGCAGGCAAGCCCUCUCGCCACACAGCACCGUGAGGGCAGGACGCAUACUCGAGAGUGAUGUCCCGCACGGAGCAGAUGCUCAGAGUGUCCUGGAAUGGCAGCCGUGUCCCGGUUCUCUACAAUGUGGUAGAGCAGACGUCUGUGGAUGUACAGAAGGUCACUCAAAGGAGAGAGGCAGCAGUCAGCCGGCCCAGCAGGCUCCAGCUUGGCUGUCCGUCAGAAUCUGCCCGAAGCCUUUUACAGUGCAGAUUUCUGGGUGUCGCUCACGGAGAUUUGGGCUCAGUGUGUGUUUAAAGCACUGCAUGCGGGUGACUCCCUCCCCUGGUUUGUGGGAUCUGGUUGAGGACCAACUCUUGCCUUUUACAAACAGGGGAACUGAGUCGAUGGGACUGACUGACUAUUUUCUCUGUGUUAUGCUGGGCAUUUUACGUGAGUUGGCCUUUUCCAAGCGUCUUCCUUCAGGAUUGCCUUGGUGACCCCCAUUUUAAAGCUGCGUUCAGAACACGCGGGAUUCUUUUAGGGGCCCUCAAGGUGACAGCACACUUUUGGGAAGAGAAAAG